AACGUAGGAGGCGAGCGUUAUCCGGAUUUACUGGGCGUAAAGCGCACGCAGGCGGCUCUGUGAGUCGGACGUGAAAGCUCCCGGCUUAACCGGGAGAGGCCGUUCGAUACUGCGGGGCUUGAGGUAGGGAGAGGAAUGCGGAAUUCCCGGUGUAGUGGUGGAAUGCGUAGAUAUCGGGAGGAACACCUGUGGCGAAAGCGGCAUUCUGGCCCUCACCUGACGCUGAGGUGCGAAAGCGUGGGUAGCAAACAGGAUUAGAACCCUGGUAGUCC
This 272-nucleotide ribosomal RNA is filed under the name uncultured bacterium. RNAcentral describes it as "partial 16S ribosomal RNA". It matches the Rfam family "Bacterial small subunit ribosomal RNA", at positions 524 to 796 of the family's 1533-position model. The record is from RNAcentral.